AUAAUGAUACUUCCGGAGAAAUCCGGUCAAUUUGGAUGACGGUGCAAGACCGAUGU
Roseburia sp. 40_7 is the source of this 56-nucleotide non-coding RNA. The record is from Rfam. Lineage: Bacteria; Bacillati; Bacillota; Clostridia; Lachnospirales; Lachnospiraceae.